GAAACCUGUCUCAGUUCGGAUUGGAGUCUGCAACCCGACUCCAUGAAGCUGGAUUCGCUAGUAAUCGCGCAUCAGCCACGGCGCGGUGAAUACGUUCCCGGGCCUUGUACACACCGCCCGUCAGGCCAUGGAAGCCGGGAGUGCCUGAAGUGCGUGAGCGCAAGCAGCGCCCUAAGGUAAAACCGGUGACUGGGGCUAAGUCGUAACAAGGUAUC
This 215-nucleotide ribosomal RNA is filed under the name uncultured bacterium. Its description in RNAcentral is "partial 16S ribosomal RNA". It matches the Rfam family "Bacterial small subunit ribosomal RNA", at positions 1278 to 1500 of the family's 1533-position model. The record is from RNAcentral.